Small nuclear RNA from Lutra lutra (Eurasian river otter), 102 nucleotides. The record is from RefSeq and is a predicted model, not a curated record. Lineage: Eukaryota; Metazoa; Chordata; Mammalia; Carnivora; Mustelidae.
GCUCCCUUUAGCAGCACAUAUACUAAAAUUGGAAUGAUACAGAGAUUAGCAUGGGUCCUGAGCAAGGAUGGCACACAAAUUCGUGAAGCAUUUCAUAUUUAC